This 522-nucleotide ribosomal RNA is filed under the name uncultured Acidobacteriota bacterium. RNAcentral describes it as "bacterial SSU rRNA". It matches the Rfam family "Bacterial small subunit ribosomal RNA", at positions 382 to 896 of the family's 1533-position model. Lineage: Bacteria; Pseudomonadati; Acidobacteriota. The record is from RNAcentral.
CCUGACGACGCAACGCCGCGUGGAGGAUGAAGGUCUUCGGAUUGUAAACUCCUGUUGCCCGGGACGAAUGGCUCCGACCUAACACGUCGGAGUGUGACGGUACCGGGUGAGGAAGCCCCGGCUAACUCAGUGCCAGCAGCCGCGGUAAUACAGAGGGGGCAAGCGUUGUUCGGAAUUACUGGGCGUAAAGGGCGCGUAGGCGGCCUGCUAAGUCGAACGUGAAAUCCCCGGGCUCAACCCGGGAACUGCGUCCGAUACUGGUUGGCUUGAAUCCGGGAGAGGGAUGCGGAAUUCCAGGUGUAGCGGUGAAAUGCGUAGAUAUCUGGAGGAACACCGGUGGCGAAGGCGGCAUCCUGGACCGGCAUUGACGCUGAGGCGCGAAAGCCAGGGGAGCAAACGGGAUUAGAUACCCCGGUAGUCCUGGCCCUAAACGAUGAAUGCUUGGUGUGGUGGGUAUCGAUCCCUACCGUGCCGAAGCUAACGCAUUAAGCAUUCCGCCUGGGGAGUACGGUCGCAAGGCUG